CGGGCAGUGCUCUCGGCUCCCAGGCUGCUGCAACCGUACUUAGGGGUCUAACCCUGCUGCCCCAGCCUUUAUGGGAGAAAAGAUUGUUCCCGACUCCAUUUAUUUCCAGGUAGAAAAGAAUCAGAGAGCCCUGCAGGGUGAAGGCGAAGACGAGGCGCUCCAGAUAAGUGUUUUUUUUUUCCUCUGUAUUACUUAUUUAUUAAAGCCAGUGAGGCAUAACUAAGAGAAGGGAAAGGAACCGAGGAAAGAGAGAAUACAAUGGCCCUUCAGGUUUUAAUGGGAGAGAUGGCUGGCAGUGAUUCCUAAAUUAUUAAAUAAAUCGAUUCGAUUCUUGAAGCUGGCCUCCAAGGUGUAUUUGUCAGUUUCAUUAUCUUUGUCUUCAAGAGUGGGAAGAGUCACUCAUGGAGAAAGUUUUAUUAUUUUUUUCCCCUCUGUUUUAUUUUGAAGGCUGCAAUUCAUGGCCCCCUCUCUAAUUAAACACUCACUUCUUUAUGUAACAGGAGCCGUGCUCUUUUCAUUUUUAUUUCGGCUUCUGUUCUGAUCCUAUUUGUCUUACAGGCCCGCAGACGUGUAACAAGAUCGGGUCAGCUUUAGGGCACACACACUUUGGAGAAUCUUGAUCCCAUUUGAAUUAUAGGACCGUGUGGUCACAGUCCCUGGUCACACUUCAUCCCCAGCCCAACAUCUGCGGGAGGUCAAGGCACUGGGAGUCCUGAGAUUUCAAACCAUCUGCCAAGGAAAAAGGAAGUCUGCGCUUGAGGAGGGAGGAGGAAGAACCUAAAUGAUAUUCUGAAGACCUUAAAGUUAUGUAUCGUGGACGAGGGCAGGAAAAUCGUUAUUAAUGGUAUCAGCCUAUUGUCUUCCUUCUGUGCCUCAGAGGGCGGUGGACAUAAUUAAAGUCGAAGCCGAGUUCAUUUUUCCCCUUGGAGGCUUAAAUAGCCUGGAGACAUUUCCCAUUCCUCCCUUCCCACUAGUGCCAGUUUUCCCCAGCUGCUGAAAAAUUCAACAUUCCUAUAAACUACAGUACUUUGUAAAGGUCAUUCGCCAGUUAAUCUGAACCCGGGGUCUGGAGCGCUGCUCACUGUAGCUACAGCAGUGGCCGUCCAGCCCCGUGACGUGGGGCCUGCCUGCGGAGAACUAGAGGGACACGAGGCAGGCACGCAGAGCUCUUUAAAUAUUGCCGAGCGUUUCCUGGAUCAGCAUGAUAUUUAAAGAUUUUUGUUCCACCUGCCUGCGAAAUAUAGAGUCCAGCCGAGAGGCAAGAAAAUGAAUAUGGAUUUCUUGCCCUUUCAGUGUAUUCACUCCAGAAAAUAGCCGUUUCUUCUUUUUUUUUUUCCCCUUUUUUGCCGAGCUGGAGACUGCAGGCUUCAGGCAGCCACGAUUACAAUCAUGCAUCAUGAAUGAAAUGUGCCAUUUGGAGAAAAUAAGCCACUCAUUCCAUUUCAAAACCCCCCACAAAUCAAUAGGGCUGGCAGAGUUUUGGGGCUGAGCUGGAUGUUGUGUUUGAACUGAAAUACUUUCUCAACACACUUCUGACACUCAGAGCAGUGGCCAGGGGCAGAUUCUGUGCCAGGGGCUCCAACAAGAGGAUGAUCAGCCUCUAAAAGUUGGAUCUGGUUCGGCACGUGAUGGAGAAGAGAGACUUAGUGCUGAUGGGCAGAAGAUUGGGCAGGGUCAGAAGAUGAGCUUCCCAGCUUGAGUUCUGCCUGAACUAGCUUUUUAUUAAUCCCCUCAAUCAAAAAACAACUCUGGAGAACUUCUUGUGUGCCAGGCACUGGGCUAAACUCUGGGAAUACAACAGCAACCAAGGUAGACACAGCCCCUGCCUUCACAUGGCUUCUAGAGAUUAAUAUGGGAGGCAGAACAAUUGCUGGGCCAUUGCAACACAGUGUGAUAAGCCUUAGGACACUGGGAAGAUUUUUCAUCUCUCUGGUUGCCCUUUUUUUAUAGGCAGAAUGAGGAAGUUUAAAAAGAUACACCCUCAAGACAUUCUCCCCUUCCAGGAUCCUAAUCAAUCAGUAGGGCAAUUAGACAACCAAAUAUUUGACCUCACCUUGUUUCCAGGUCCAGACAUGGCUCUUGCUCCUUUUUUCUCAAGGUCACCACAACCCAGUUUGCAGAUACAAGACAUGCAGAUGAAAUGUUGACUUACAGUUGAGGUGUCAGGUAAACGUUAUGGACUUUGGUAAGUUUUUGGCAGUUCAGAGAGUUCCUUGGGAGUUCAAAGGAAGGAGAGAUGGCUAAGUGCAUUAUCUGUGCCAGAUACACUUUUCUCUGCACCUUCUUAACCACUCCCCUGGCUCCCAUUACUUAUAUAGGGAGAAGACUCCUAAGUUUGUGUCUCCAGCCCAGAUAUUUCCCAUGAGCUUUCCCCAAUACCUGGCUCUUCCUUUGGCUAACUCCUACUCAUUUUCCAUCUCACACUUAGGCACCAUUUGUUCCAAGAGGAUUAUUCAUCCCCUUGAGCCUAGUUAGGCCUUCUAUCACAUGUUCCUGUGGCACCCUAGUCUUCAUCAGAGCACUUACCAUGAUCUUUUGUAACUGCUAUUCAAUGCUCUCCUCCACAAGUCUACAACAUCUUCAGGGGCAGGGACUAUGUCUAUCUGACUUGUUGUUUCCCCAAGGCCACUAUAGUGCUUUGUAUUUUUUGGUAUUUGGUAAGUAAUUUGUUAUAUAAAUGAAUGGCUUUCUAAUUCUUCUAGAGAAUAAACAUACUUUCUUUAAGGCAUGCAUCCAGACCUUUUCACCCUAUUUGGGUGGUCCAUCCCAGAAUAAGAUGAAACUAAAAUGGCUUUGUGCCAAUAUAUUCCUAACAGAGUGUGGUGUCUCAGGCAGAGUUUCCUAAAAAUCAGAGCUUGAGACAAGGUUCGAGUGCUAAUGUGUUAUUUGAGAGGUGCACUCCCAGGGCAGUGAAAAUGAAGCAAAAGAGAAGUGAGGCAGGGCGGGAUGGGAAGCAGCUCAAGGUGAUGUGUUACUAUGCUGGCCCCUGCUUCAUGAUGGCAUAUGUGUGCACCCACACACACAACAACUACAACAAACAACAUAAUCAUAGCCAGUUGCUCAGCAGGCACACCUGCUCAGCCAUGCGGGAUAUUUUUGGACAGACCAGACAGAAAAACCAUGCCUCAGAACAGUCCUUGGGAGGAAGAAGAGAAGGGGAUUUAUCCUCCCGCUCCUAUUCCCAUUGGUUAAGGUCAGUCCCUGUGGGAAGAGAACUUCCCUGUAUUUACGGUUUGUUUUAUCUGAUGUUCUUGAAAGCCACUGAGGAAGUCAGAGCUCAUGCCUUAUGACACGACAUUUCAUCCAAGUCACAUAUAUGCAGAACAGAGUAAAUAUAGUGGGCCUGAGACUGCUAUUCUUAAAAGGACCUGCUUGCAUUUUUGGUCCUUAGCUGGCAUCUGGGAACUUAGAUUUCAGGAGGAUUCGCAUCACCGUGCCUGAACUUUUUGUUCAAGUGAUGUAGUUUAUGCCGAACAUCUGCUUUCCUUCUGGGAGUCUGGAGUUUUGGUAUGUGCUGGCAGAGGAUACCUACGUGGCAAGUCCAUGAUAAAAACCCUGGUGCACUGAGUCUCUAAUGAGCUUCCCUGGUAGACUCAUUUCACGUAUAUCGUCAAAACCCAUUGCUAGAGGAACUGAGUGAGUCCUAUGGGACUCCACUGGGAGACGACUCUUGGAAGCUGGAGCCUGGUCUCCCCCAGACUUCUCCCUUUGCUGACUGUGCUUUGUAUCCUUCUGCUGUAGUAUAUCAUAGCAGUGAGUAUGAUUCUAUGCUGGAGUUCUGUGAGUCCUCCUAGCGAAUCAUUGAACCUGAGGGUGGACUUGGAGACCCCUGACACAGCAUACACGGCUUUGAACCAAGCAGACUUUGGGGAAUUGGUUGGCAGGGCAGAGGCUGAGGUGAAGCAAGAGGAUGAGGGUCUGGGAGACAGGGGAGGCUGAGGAGGUACAAAGGUGUGUCUGAUACAUGUAGCAAAAGAGCCCAGAUGGACCUUGGUGGCUAUCAGCUAGGCAAACUACUCCAUGGAUUAAUGUUUCUUUGUCUCAGUUUCAAGAUGGAUAAAAUGGUGACAAUUAUAUUUACCUUGCAGUGUUGUAAGGAUUGGUAUAAUAUAUGACUUUCUUCAAUCCUGUUGACUUUCAGGAAAAGGAAUCUUGACCCCUUAACUUUAGGCUGUAGUAUUUGGUUGGAUUACGUGGAGCGUGUGUGUUGGGGAGAUGGAGAGAGUGAAGAUGCAGAAGUGAGUGAAGACUGCCACUGUGUGUGGGGAGAAAGUUACUAUUUCUACUUCACCAAUAAUGGAAUGGAAUGUUCUGACAAGAUGGUACCUGGUUCUAGAUGUUGUGGUGUUGGGCUUUGUUGAGGUUUAAGUAUUUCUAAGAGAGUUCUCUUAGAGUCCAGCAGAUUAUGAGACUACCAAGAUACUACUUUAGAUGGUGGCCAUGUUGGACUUGACCCGGGACCAGCCUAGGGUGACCACACAGGAUAUUUUUAGGCUCCCAUGUCCUCUAUCGGUGAGUAUUAGAAUUAUUUGGCUGCCAGCAACAGACUUUAACUAACUUAAGCAAAAAUGCAUUAUUGGAGGGCUUCAGAGUAGCUUGCAAAGAGUAGUAGGUGAACAAGUAGGUCUUAGGUAGGGUAGACACCAGGACAGUUCUGGGUACCUCAGCAGUUGGACAAAUACUAUAGAGUGCGGUUGUUGGAUGGCAGCUAUUCUUCUUGGCUCCCCUGUGUGUCAAAGAUUCAGAUUCCCCGCAGAAGGGCUGUGAUUGGCUUCCUUGCAACACUUGGCCACCCUGGUAGGCAGGGGGAGGAUUUCUGUGGUUGUCAGCUCAAUAGAAACACAUCAGAGGAGAAAGAGUGCCCCGAAUGAAGGAGGAUGUCAUUUACCAGAAGCAGGUAAGACAUUGACACAGAUCUUUGUGACUUGGCCUCUGCCCCAUGGAACUCAAGUCACCAGGUCACAAUUCUGCCUCUGGGACAUGUGAAGCCUGGUGCUACCAGGGUACCCUGGGGCUUUGUCAGGUUUGGUCAUUCUUGAGGGUUUGCCAUGUCUCCUUGGUUUCUCCAUGCUUUACAAACAUAGCCAAAAAACAUUUUAGGAAGGCUCCUUCCCUAUGGAUGUUACUGAUCUCUUGUUGACAUCUAAGGUUAUGCCUUCAUAGAGCCUCAAUGGUUUUGUCGACCUGAGCGCUCUCACCAUUCACACCUCUCCAAGCCUUUGAAGACACUCUACUGUCUGCUUCGAGUGUGUUUUCCUGCUACAAGUGCCUACUCACCUUCAAGCUCCAAUGUCAUCCCUUUUCUGGUCCCCACUCUCCCUGAAGUCAUGCAGUUAGUGGCAGAGGCUCACGUAGAAUCCGGGUCCCCUGGCUUUCAGUAGAGUCACUACAAUAAAAUGGCCACUAAUUAAGGCUUUGGAGUCCACAACCCUGGGAGUGAGUCCCAGUUCUGCAUUAGAUAACCUUGGGGUCAUUAUUUACCAUUUUGGAGACUUCGUUUUCUCUUCUUUAAAGGGAAUAUUAACAGUACUCUCCUCAUAGAUUCUUGUGAAAAUUAAAUUAAGAUAAUAAGGUAAAGUGGUUUGCACAAUGCCUGGCACACAGUAAGUGCUCAAUAAAUGUUAGCUACUAUGGUAUCGUGUUCCUGGCCCAGGAAGAUUAUGUAAAUGAGUUAAAGGGUAGAGAGCUUUAAAAUCCUCAGGAGCAAGCCGAGUAACCUUCAUGUGCAAAGAUUUGGAAAGCCCCAGGGAAGAGUCAGUACUGAAAAGUCGGCUACUGUAAAAGUUGUAAACAAAUCUUAAAAUACUAAUUAGGCAACAGCAUAACUCACUCUCUUAAAUAAUGAAAUAUAUGGGGUUGUUGUUCAUGGUUCAAAUAAUAAAUUCUAAAUUAGUCACUCAGAGCAUUAUUAAUAACGAAACACAGUCUGCAAAGCAGCUAAGGUAUUUUUGAUCCUCAUGAAUUUAGUAAUAAGAGAAAAUAUUAAAAUCAGACUCUUUGGAGAUUAACAUGGAUCACUCAGAUGGUCUGUUUUUGUGGAAAGAUGAUUGGAUUCGGAAUUAGAACACCUGAGUUUGGGUCCUGGCUCUGUUGAUUGUUAGCUAUGUGAUCUGUGGGAAGACACAGCCUUCCUGGGUAUUUCCUCCCCUAUCAAGUGAGAAAAUAUUCUGUCACAGGAUUGUGACUUUAGGUGACAAAUAAUCUAUAUGAAAGGAUCUUAAAUAUUACAACAUGCUUUCUAGACAAUGAAGUGCAGCUUUAUUCAAGAGUAUGCUUGUAAAAACAACACAUUCGUUUAUCAUUCCUUUAUUCUUUCACUCAUUGGUCAGCACCUACUGUAAGCCUAGCAUGGUACAAGUUUCAGUUGGGGAUAAAAAGGCAGCAGAAGAAUGAUGUCCACUCUCAGAAAACCAAUAGGCCAGUUGAAAAGACAAUGUACACAGCAAUAAGCAAAUGCAUCCUUCUAAACUCUUCCUGCCUUUAAAUCCAGGGAAAUACAAAGUGAGAGAAAGAUCAGGAUUUACUCAAGAAAAGCCGUCUUGAGGGAGGUCUUAGAUUGUGUCCUGUGGUACAAGUCAGGGGUGGGGAGGACAAGUUACAUGACUGGAACAGAAAGAGUAAGACAGAUGAGGAAACAAUAAAGCAUGUUUGGCAUUUGUCAGUCAACAAUCAGUUAGUGGACACAUUUGUAUUGGGUACGGGAUGAGGCCUAGGUGCUGUGGGAGAAUUGGCAGAAGGAAGAGGCUUGACUUCCAUCCCCUAGGAAUUUUCAGUCUACAAAGCACUAGGAGGGGUGAGAAAAAAUACUGGUAAAGCAGCUGAAGAAGCGACAGAGCAUGAGUAAGUGCAAGAUGUUGUUGAGCUGAACCCUAGGGUUUAGCCAUCUCAAAAGUCUGGCUGCUAUUUUUCUGAUGAGGAAGACUGUGCCUUUAAAUCCACAGCUCAAGAAAACAUUUCAGUUUGCCAAGCUUCUGCUAAGCCAUCCUGAAAAAAAUAUUCAACAGCUUUCACCAGCCAGAGGCUCCAAUAUCCAAUCUCUGUCUCAAAUGAUAAAUGACAUUUGUCAGUUGACAAAGCAAACGGCCUCGACCAUUUGAGGACACGGUCCUGCUGUGCAUAGCACUCCUGUAGAACCCGCCAAGAGCACCUUGAGGUGAGAAAAAGCCUCUUUGUGCUCGAGCCCUCCAGAGAGAGGCGGAAAACAAGCAGCCUUUGUGUCGCUGUGAGGGCGGUUCCUCGUUAGGAGCUGAAACCCUAGUAGAAAGUGUCUGUCUGGGCAGGAGGGGAUUUCUCAGGUCUGGAGGCUGGAUUAAUCAGGGAUGGGCUGGAACCUUGCUGAUGGCCGUGCACUUUGCCUACAUUUCUGCUCAGGUCUCUGCUCUUUUUACUAAUAUCCCUUAAAUCCUGUCGUCAGAGCAGAAGGCAACGUGAUGAGCAGGAGACAAAAUCAAGGGGUAGCUCACACUGACACUAACAGCACAGUUGAUGGUGGUGUGCAUGUUGGGGAGGGUAAGUAACUUUGGCACUGUGGAUGGAAGGGCAUUUUUUCUUUGUGUAGUUCUUUCUCUAGAAUUGUGGGGUGUUUAACAUUCCUGACCUCACCCACUGAAUGACAGUAUUGCCCCCAGUCAUGGUAACUCUUAAAACCCUCCAUGUAUUUCCAACCUCCACUUCCAGGGUUUGUGGAGAACCCAAAAAAGCACUGGGUGAUGGACCUUGACCUCCACAGUGGUCCCAGCUUCCUCCGAUGUUCUCCAGGAGUCUGGGGCAGGGCAGAGUCUCUGUCUCCCUCACAAGUGCCCUCUGGGGAUGGGAGUGGUGGACUAAGACCGGAUUUGGUGUGCCCCCCACUAUCCUUUCUGAGCUAGGUGUUUACUCCAUGCUGAGCCAUCUGGAAGAAUCCAUCAGCUUUCCAGAAUGAGGCAAGGGCAUGGCAGUGGACUCAGGGGAGCUGUGAAAGGCAGGCAAAGAUAGUCAGCCAGUUAGAUAGAGGGACAACAUGGUCCUCUCCUAACUGCAGACGGGUCCUCAGGAGAAGGGCUUUCCAGGUUGAACCAGUCCAAGUCGAGGGCUCUAAGUUCAAGUGGUCUAACCAUCCAUUCCAGGAUUUUCUAAUAUGUGGUCCUUGACCAUUUGCAUUUGACUGACCUGGGGUGCUUGUGGAAAAUGCAGAUUCAUGGCUCCCAAGACCCACUAUGUCAAGUUUCUGCAUUUGGGAUUGGGAAUCCGAAUUUUCAAAAAAUUCCCUCUGUGAUUCUUUUUCAAGCUAAAGUUUGAGAGAAGUAAGGAUCUACCACCAAUGCUUGAGUUCCCUCUGUAAGAACCCUGAUUAACAAUUGCCCAGUCUCUGAACACCUUUAGUGGAGGGGGUCUCGCUCCCUCUGGAGGCAGCCCAUUGCCUCACUGGCUAACUCUAGUGCUCAGCAAGCUUCCCCAAUGGGUAAAGCACGGUUUCAUUGAUGGGGGAGAACCCUAAACUCAAACAUGCGCGUGUGUGUGUGUCUAAAUUCAUUUCAAAAGGCUUGAAAGGAUAGACACUCAACUUAAAUGUGGCUCCUUAUGGGAGGGAGAGUAAAAUAUGGGUAUGUGGGGAAGUUUAAAGGGGGGAACUUUAUAUUCUAUAUGUCUCUGUAUUGCUUGAGUUUUUCUUUGACAAUUUACAUAUAUUUGUUGUGUAAUUUUAAAAGUAAAAGACAAGAGUGCAUCAACACUGACAUUCUUUGUACUGAGCAAAAUCUUCCUCACUCUAUAUUUUCCCCCUUAGUUCUAGAGGGAAUCACACUGGGUUGCACAGAAUUUCCAGUUUCUUCCCUACCUGUCAAAAGUUUCUGAAUGCUGUUAGCUUGUCCCUUCUAGGCACUGGCUCUCUAAGCCAAAUGGCCCUGGUUCCUUGACCCUUGCGCUGAGAUCUGGCACAUUAAUCUUCCCGGAAAUUGCCCCUCCUUACCCGCCUGGCAAUGCUGUUCAGCUUGACAGUAUUCUGUGAGAAUUAUGUUCCGUGCUAUAUGAGAGUGACAUUCUGGGUGUGCUGUAACCUGAACAGAGGGAGUAGGAUGGUUGUCUCUAUCUUACUAGGUUCUAUCUUUCCAUUAAUGCUGCUUAAGGCUUUUUGGAAGCCAUGUCACACUGAUGACUCCUAUUGACCAAAGAGUCAAAUAAAACCCCUAAAUCUCGGUCAUACCAGCUGCUGCCAUGGCUCGCCCCCACCUCCCUGUACUGCUUUCAGCUAGCUUUCUGGACCCAAGUGGAAAACUUAAACUAAUUCCUAUUAAACUUCAUCUUGUUAGGCUUGGCUCAUUGAUCCAGGAGGCUGCAGCCUCUUUUCUUUUUGGAUCUUGAUUUUGUUCUCAGCAGAAAUCUCGUUCUGCAAAGUUUGAUUUUAUUUGACUGCAGAGGGGAAAAAAAACCCCACAAAAACCUCUUUAUUUUGAACAGGAGACUCUCACAGAAAAUAAACCUGAGGUUGGCAUUUUCAAAUACCCUGAACAAACGCAGAACUUGCUGCCAGCUUGAUUGGACAAGGCUCCGCUUCAGGGUCUGCUACCUGCCUGCUCCUAAGGCAAGUCCCACGACAUAUGCUACCAGGCUGGAAGGGAGCUCUGCAGACAGAAGGCCCCUUCCCAGACAGAUGGGUGUCUCUCCUCUUCCGAAAGAUCCCCUGGGAAGGCUCCACUGGGAGCAUCUUCCAGAAAUGGGAUGACUGUGUAUUGCGAAUGGCUUUAUUGCUCAGAGCAUCUGGAUGUGUUGUGAUAAACAGCAUGAUAGAUGGUUUAAUGCCUCUAAGAAUGGGUUGCCCAGAGAGAAGGAACAAAACAGAGAAUAUCACCUCCUGAUUGCUUGGAACAAAGCAGGGUGGCUCACGAAAGAUUCCACCUGAGUGGUUCUUCCUGCUCAUCCUUGUGGCAAUUUCAGCGCCAUGGACCUGAGGGGGGACUUGGAGAAGGGGAGAUUUGCUGGAGGUGGUGAGCUGGAUGGACAGAGUGUUCAUUUCUAUGUGCAGCAAAUAUUCUUUGAGGGUUAAUGAAGAUCACUGUGCUGGGCAUUGGGGGUAAAUGACAGGGAAACCAGACGUGAACCCUGCACUCACAAAGCUUUAAGCUUAGUCAAAGAGGCAUAUGUUACUAAAGUGGUCACUCAAAUAUAAGUAUUAUUACAAGAGUGGAAAAUGCAACAAAGAGAACAUGUUGUGAUGGGGAGUCUAAUUCUAGACUGGAAGGUCAGGGAAGGCUUCUCUGAAGAGGUGACAUUUCAGCUGAAAUCUGCAAGUUGUGUGGGAGGUAACUUGGCAAUGAGGUAGAAGAUAUGACAGCCAUAUGCUAAAAUGAGAUUGCUCUGGCUGCUGGGUGGAGAAUGGCUGGAGAGGAGCAAAAGGGGAUGAGGAGAGCAAAAGGAAGCAGCUGUCCCGGUGGUCUAGGUGAGAGACGCCAAGAGCUUGCACUAGCAUGGUGGCGGUGGUGAUGGAAGAUAUGGGCUGACAGGAAAGGUAAAAUAUUUUUAAAGUAAAUCAAGACUUGGUAAGAGAUCAAAAGGAGCGUAAUGGAGAAGAAAAUCUCAAGGCUGACACCUAGGUUUCUGUCAAACCCACCUGAAUGGAUGGGGAAGUUUAUGAGUCCCACUUUUGGCACACUGAGUUUGAUGAGCUUUUGGGAGAAGGAAACAGGCAGUUGGACAUGAACUUGUUGUGCUUAAAGGAGAGGGCUGGACUCCGAUUCUCAGAGCCAUGGUGAAUAGGUGGCGAAUGAAGUGCUGGCCUGCAUGAAAUUGCUUAGGGAGAGAGUAGAGAGUAAGAAACCAAGAGGACAUGGGACCGACCCAUCCCUAGUGAACUCCACUGUGUAACGGUCAGAUAGAGCAGGAAGCCAAUAAAGGAAACUUGAGAAGGAAGCGGUCAGAGGAUGGAAACCAGGAGAAUGUGAGGUCACCAUGUCCAGGAGACAGUCGUUGGUUGGAGGGGCAGGGUUACCAGCACUGUAUCCUGCUGAGCUGUCAAAUAAUUUGAGGAAUGGAAAUUGUCUAUGGGCUUGAGCAACAUGGAGAUUGUAUUCAUCUCCUAGGGCUGCAGAUUAUCGCAAUACAGAUGACCACAAACCGGGUGGCUUACGACAACAGAAAUGUAUAAUUUCACAGUUCUGGAGGCUAGAGGUCUGAAAUGGUGUCCGCCAGGCCCUGCUCUCUCUGAAGGCUCUGGGGGAGAAUCCUUCCUUGUCUCUUCCUUGUUGCCGAUAGUUGGCAGCUAUCCUUGGUGCUCCUUGGCUUGUAGAUGUAUCACUCCAAUCUCUGCCUCCUUCUUACAUGGCCUUCUCCUUGUACGUCUGUGCCCAAAUUUGCUUCUUCUUGUUAGGGCACGGGUUAUAUUAGACAGGGCCCAUCCUAAUCCAGUGUGGCCUCAUCUUAACUUGAUUACAUCUGCAAAGAUCCUAUUUCCAAAUGUCGCAUUCACAGGCACUGGGGCUUAGGACUUGAAACCAUCUUUUUGGGGGACACAAUUCAACAGUAACAGAGGUUGUCGGUAACUUUGACAGUGGCUUUUGCAGCAAGAUAAGAGAAGAUGACUGGAAUGUGUUGAGAAGGGACUGAGAGGCGGGAAAUUAGAGCUAGCACAAGACAAGACAACUCCUUCAAGAAAUUUGGCUGACUGGGGCACUGGGGCACUGGACCGGGAUCCAAAAACCUUCAUCUGUGCACCAGCUCCACCACGACCGGUGUGACCUUCCCUGAGCCCUGCUUUCUCAUUUGGGGAAUGAUUAUGCCCAUGCAACCCACCUUUGGAAUAACUUGGAGCUCUUGUGAGUUUCAAGGAGGUAAGGCACAGGAAGACUUCAUAGACUCCAAAAGCAAUGAGAGAUGCAGGAGAUUACGAUUAUGUGGGUUUAGGGAAGACCCCUACCCAUGUUUGGGUAUAUGUGUCUAUGGGCCAGCUUGAGGCAGGGACUCCAGGCAGAACAGGACUUUGGAGCUUCCUUCCAUGAGCCCGUUGAUCCAGCCAGGCAGCACAAAGACCGACCUGUUGAGCAGGCUAGCUUCCUCAGUGUGCUCUGAGCACUUUGCCUGGAGGAACUCUGUGGGCAUGACUUAGUGGCAUGAUGUUUCUUUGUCCUUGCCUAUAGGAGAGCUCACAUCAUCCAGGGCCUUACACACUCCAUCUUGGAAACUGAUGCUGGCAGAGAAGAAGGAACCCAGAGUCUUGGUUCUUGGGUGCCAGUCAGGGGCCUGAGAAAUUUACCCGCCGAGGUCUCUGAUCCUGUGUCUGUCAACGGGCCAGGCCUCUGGCAGCUAAACCCCAAGACCUUCUGUGGGUUGACAAGGAGGGGGACACUUUGCCACAGAGACUGGGGAAACUAGCUUGGGGACAAAAGCUGGUUGUAGAGGUGGCAGCUGAUCAAGCCAUGGGCAGGCGGGAUCCACUGCCCGAGUUGUAACUAGAGACUCCCCCGCAGUGUGGGGCUUGGCGAUGGGGCCACAGGCAGCAGGCAGCACCAGGCAGCCAGGCAAGCAGACAGCUGUGGCGGGCUCUGUGAGGAAGGGCAGGCCGUCCUCCCAAGAGGAGGAGCAGGUUGGCUGCAGGGCCUGAGUUGCUAGCAAUGAUUAAUUUAUUCCUUACUGGAUUUGUCAGGUGUCAGGGCCUAGGCGCUGGCUGGGUGGCUGGGGAGAAAUGCAGCCUUGAUGAACUGUUUUAAACACGUGUGAUCAGAAACUCUAGAAAAAAAGAAUUUCAGCAUAUAUUUUGGCUACUUUCCAAAAUGUGAGUUUAUUUGGAAUUAUUUCUAGAACUAGGUGGGUGGGCACCAAAAUCUUUUUCUUGUUUAAAGCCCUGGAAGGAGCGAGGGUUUGACAGGAGCCCCAAACAUGCCUCCAAGAGAAGAGGCCAGGGGGAGUGUAGCGAUGAAGGCCCCGUGGCUUGAGACAAAUGAGAAGAGAGGGAGAGAGCUGAGACGCGGGCUGUUCGCUUGGUGGUUCCUCAGUCGCCAGGGCAGGCUGACUGUGAAGGAGCUGCUGCAGCUCGCGGGAGCCCAGGAACAGUGACCCCGCUCUCGGAUCCCAGGUGCAGGAGGCUGGCUGAGAUUUCAACGAUAGUAGUCAGGUCUGCACUUGGGGAAAGGUCACGGCUCAUAAUAGCUUGGAUUGUUCAACCUAGACAUGUGCGGAUUAGGAAACAAGACGCAGAGAGACUCCGACCCGCUCAAGGUGAAAGUCCCAGUUGGUGGCUGAGCCAGCCAAGGAUGCCUGCGUCCUGACAUCCAGCCCUGAGCUCUUCUGAAGAUGAGGGGACUCUUAAGAAUACACAAUACUUCCAGGCUUUUUGUUCCGACAGAAGUAAGUUUGCAAAGCAGUUGUGGAGGACUCUCGGAAGAAGGGCAAACAGUCCCCGAGGGGGUGGAGCUGCUGGUUCCAGGAGCUCUGUUGCCAGCAAUUAUUAAUUCACUCCGGCUGGCGCUGUCUUGGGGGCCUCCCGCGCACAAUAGCAUUAGGAGCGUUGGCAGCUGCGGAGGGAGAAGGCCCGCUCCACCUGGGAAUGAGGAAGAUGUGACUCCUCGCAAGGUUGCUCUCCUCCCAGCUCCCGCUCUUGGGAGAGAUGAUCAGUGCUUGCGGGCCUGGGAGCAGGCUGCUGAGGACACAGUGUUCCCGGGGAUGGUGGCAGAUCUUGGAGAAGGGACAGAAGCUGGGCCAAGAGACUGGAACUUAUGCAAAUCAGGCCUGAGGAUGGUUCAAGGAGGGGGCAGCCCCUGCCUUAUGCCUCCCCCUCAGCAUACCCAGAACCAGACUCCUCGGGAGGAACAUCUUUUGUCUUCAAUGCUAAGCUUGUUCACGAGGAUGUGCGCUGGGAAAAUAGGUUUGGAAUUUGAUGAACUGCCUGCUGCUGGCUCCUCUGUUUUCUGGCAUCAAGGUUCCUCAAUAGUGGACUCAACAGUUGCAUUUUUCACCUACAAAAGAAUUGCUAUCAGAAAACCAGACAGCGGAUAAUUGUAUUUUGUGAAUUGACAGUGAAGCCACUCGGUUUCAGCCCAGGUCCAAAGGCUGAGGAUGUUCACCCAGGAGAAAUGGUUUGUGCGAGAGAAUUCAUUUCUGAGUACUCAUUUUUACUGGAGGAAACAGGGUUGCUUGGAUUUUUUUUUUUUUUAUUCUUCUUCAACAUGUAG
This 14138-nucleotide long non-coding RNA is filed under the name Equus caballus (horse). RNAcentral's name for it is "lncRNA (ENSECAG00000043870.1)". The record is from RNAcentral. Lineage: Eukaryota; Metazoa; Chordata; Mammalia; Perissodactyla; Equidae.